AGCAGCCGCGGUAAUUCCAGCUCCAAUAGCGUAUAUUAAAGUUGUUGCAGUUAAAAAGCUCGUAGUUGAAUUUCGGGGUUAGUAAGUUGGUCGUGCCACUGGUAUGUACUGGCUUUACUGAUUCCUCCUUCUUGUAGAACCGUAAUGCCAUUAAGUUGGUGUUGCGGGGAAACAGGACUGUUACUUUGAAAAAUUAGAGUGUUUAAAGCAAGCUAACGCUUGAAUACAUUAGCAUGGAAUAAUGAAAUAGGACGUUCGAUCCUAUUUUGUUGGUUUCUAGGAUUGACGUAAUGAUUAAUAGGGAUAGUUGGGGGCGAUUAGUAUUCAAUUGUCAGAGGUGAAAUUCUUGGAUUUAUUGAAGACUAACUACUGCGAAAGCAUUUGCCAAGGAUGUUUUCAUUAAUCAAGAACGAAAGUUAGGGGAUCGAAGACGAUCAGAUACCGUCGUAGUCUUAACCAUAAACUAUGCCGACUAGGGAUCGGAUGAUGUUAAUUUUUAAUGACUCAUUCGGCGCCUUAC
Molecule: ribosomal RNA, 520 nt
Filed under: uncultured Glomus
Lineage: Eukaryota; Fungi; Glomeromycota; Glomeromycetes; Glomerales; Glomeraceae
Description: SSU rRNA
Rfam family: Eukaryotic small subunit ribosomal RNA
Source: RNAcentral